Molecule: ribosomal RNA, 498 nt
Filed under: uncultured bacterium
Lineage: Bacteria
Description: partial 16S ribosomal RNA
Rfam family: Bacterial small subunit ribosomal RNA
Source: RNAcentral
AGCGAACGCUGGCGGCGUGCCUAACACAUGCCAGUCGAACGUGAAAAGGGAAACCUGAGUAAAGUGGCUUACGGGUGAGUAACGCGUAGGUAAUCUACCCCAGAAUCUGGAAUAACCUGCCGAAAGGCGGGCUAAUACUGGAUAGAGCGAGGGAACUCGUAAGAGAGUUUUUCGGGAAAGGGAGCCCGCAAGGGCCUUCGUUCUGGGAUGAGCCUGCGUCUCAUUAGCUAGUUGGUAAGGUAACGGCUUACCAAGGCGAUGAUGAGUAGCUGGUCUGAGAGGAUGAUCAGCCACACUGGAACUGAAACACGGUCCAGACUCCUACGGGAGGCAGCAGUGGGGAAUCUUGCGCAAUGGACGAAAGUCUGACGCAGCCACGCCGCGUGAGUGAAGAAGGCCUUCGGGUUGUAAAGCUCUGUCGGAUGGGACGAACAUCUUCAUAGUGAAUAGCUAUGAGGACUGACGGUACCAUCAAAGGAAGCACCGGCUAACUCCGUG